CCGCGGUAAUACGAAGGGGGCUAGCGUUGUUCGGAAUUACUGGGCGUAAAGCGCACGUAGGCGGAUAUUUAAGUCAGGGGUGAAAUCCCGGGGCUCAACCCCGGAACUGCCUCUCAUACUGGCAAUCUUGAGUUCGAGAGAGGUGAGUGGAAUUCCGAGUGUAGAGGUGAAAUUCGUAGAUAUUCGGAGGAACACCAGUGGCGAAGGCGGCUCACUGGCUCGAUACUGACGCUGAGGUGCGAAAGCGUGGGGAGCAAACAGG
This 262-nucleotide ribosomal RNA is filed under the name uncultured bacterium. Its description in RNAcentral is "partial 16S ribosomal RNA". It matches the Rfam family "Bacterial small subunit ribosomal RNA", at positions 515 to 776 of the family's 1533-position model. The record is from RNAcentral.